CCCGCUGAACUUAAGCAUAUUAUUAAGCGGAGGAAAAGAAACUAACAAGGAUGCCCUCAGUAACGGCGAGUGAAGCGGGCAAAGCUCAACCUGAAAAUCGGGUUCCCAAACGGGAUCUCGAAUUGUGGGCUACAGACGCGUGAUCAGUGUGUGACCCGGGUAUAAGUGUGCUUUGGAAUUACUCAUCACAGAGGGUGACAAUCCCGUCCGUGACCCGGAGUAUUCGCCGCGUACGAUCCGCGUUCAUAGAGUCGCGUUGUUUGGGAUUGCAGCGCUAAAUGGGUGGUAAAUUUCAUCUAAAGCUAAAUAUCGACGAGAGACCGAUAGCGAACAAGUACCGUGAGGGAAAGAUGAAAAGAACUUUGAAAAGAGAGUUAAAAAGUACUUGAAAUUGCUAAGAGGGAAGCACUGGAAACCAGUCAUUUUUAACCUUUCACACCUCAAUGUUCACUCCUGGAUCGAUUCGUUAUGCCGAGAGCCUAAAACCUCGCUUAGCUUAUCGUGAAAAUGUUGGACAUGUAUGUGUGGUUGGUUUUGGUCAGAAUCAAUUUGAUCCGUGAGAGAAAGCUAUGGCAACGGUAGGAAUUGAUGUAGCAAUACAUUGGUUCUGAUUAGUGCGGUAGUGCUAUCGCGGGUUGGAUUGAGGGACAAUCGAAAUGCGCACCACUAGGUUUGUGGCCUCCUGUCCCUGGUCGCUCAAGAGACGUGAACAACAAAGUUGUGCUGUUUCUGAAGGUGAUUACUGGUAUGGAAUGGUCAACAGCAGCAUUCGAGAUUCUGACGAAAUGGUUUUCAUUGACCCGUCUUGAAACACGG
This 816-nucleotide ribosomal RNA is filed under the name uncultured fungus. RNAcentral describes it as "eukaryotic LSU rRNA". It matches the Rfam family "Eukaryotic large subunit ribosomal RNA", at positions 24 to 664 of the family's 3401-position model. Lineage: Eukaryota; Fungi. The record is from RNAcentral.